AACAACCUAUUCAUUUUUGCUCCAUCUCUAGCAUUAUUGUACCCUAUAAUAUUUGCUUAUAUGAUAUAAAAACUGAAGGCAAAACGUGAUUUACAUGGACUUCAGAAAUUUUGACAUGCCUCUUUGCCUUUUUUUUUGGUUUAUCCUGAAACCGUAUCCACUGAAAAUUUGACAUGGGGUUCUGAACAAGCUGUUCAUUUUUGCUCCAUCUCUGGCAUUAUUGUUCCACUUUUUCUUAUUCAAAUUUUACUGCACUAGGUUUUGUAGCAAUAUGUUGUUCCUCGAUGACAAUGGAUGAUCUUUGUACUUUUUUUUCCAUCAUGUUUAUGACUUUUGUACCUGGCGGAGUGUUGCAAGAGUCUGGAAUUGAAGUGUAUGCUUAGUGUCAGGGAACCCACUAACCAAUGAAAUCAGGUGAAGUGCCGCAAUUACACAAAAAAUAGCGCUCACAGGUUAAUACAAGUUUAAAUUUAAAAUUAUUAUAGCAUUAGUUUGUUCCCGUUGCAACGCACGAGCAUGGUCCUAGUACAACUAAAAAUUAUGGAAAGGACUCAUCUACCACAACCAUGGUGAAGCCACAACUCCACCCCUUUUAGCUAUGAUAGGCUAUCUCAUCAACCUAGGCCCCACUCACCCAUACAUGCAAAAUUGUUUUAGCGAAUUUAAAAAAGUCAUAACUUUUAAACUGAAGAUAUAAAUUAAAUUCCGAUUGCAAAAUUGAAUUUCUCAUAACAAAUCCUUCAAAACAAGAUGACACAUGGAUAUAUUUAGAUAAAAUUUUAUUAAUGAAUAUUUAUCUCUACAACUAAAAAUUGUCCCUUUUAGCUAUGAUAGGCUAUCUCAUCAACCUAGACCCCACUCACCCAUACAUGCAAAAUUGUUUUAACGAAUUUAAAAAAGUCAUAACUUUUAAACCGAAGAUAUAAAUUAAAUUCCGAUUGCAAAAUUGAAUUUCUCAUAACAAAUCCUUCAAAACAAGAUCACACAUGGAUAUAUUUAGAUAAAAUUUUAUUAAUGAAUAUAUAUCUCUACAACUAAAAAUUAUGGAAAGGACUCAUCUACCACACUCAUGGUGAAGCCACAAGUUCCAUCCCUUUUAACCAUGAUAGGCUAUCCCAUCAACCUAGUCCCCACUCACCCAUGCAUGCAAAAUUAUUUUAGCGAAUUUAAAAAAGUCAUAACUUUUAAACCGAAGAUAUAAAUUAAAUUUCAAUUGCACCAUUAAAUUUCUCGUAACAAAUCCUUCAAAACAAGAUCACACAUGGAUAUAUUUAGAUAAAAUUUUAUUAAUGAAUAUAUAUCUCUAUCUACUACUAAAAAUUAUGGAAAGAACCCAUCUACCACACUCAUGGUAAAGCCACAACUUCCAUCCCUUUUAGCCAUGAUAGGCUAUCCCAUCAACCUAGGCUCCACUCACCCAUGCAUGCAAAAUUAUUUUAGCGAAUUUAAAAAAGUCAUAACUUUUAAACCGAAGAUAUAAAUUAAAUUUCAAUUGCACCAUUAAAUUUCUCAUAACAAAUCCUUCAAAAC
This 1530-nucleotide long non-coding RNA is filed under the name Sorghum bicolor (sorghum). RNAcentral's name for it is "long non-coding RNA (SBIC_LNC007785)". The record is from RNAcentral. Lineage: Eukaryota; Viridiplantae; Streptophyta; Magnoliopsida; Poales; Poaceae.